RNAcentral lists this ribosomal RNA (552 nucleotides) under uncultured bacterium. RNAcentral describes it as "partial 16S ribosomal RNA". It matches the Rfam family "Bacterial small subunit ribosomal RNA", at positions 355 to 900 of the family's 1533-position model. The record is from RNAcentral.
UGGGGAAUUUUGGACAAUGGGGGCAACCCUGAUCCAGCCAUCCCGCGUGUGCGAUGAAGGCCUUCGGGUUGUAAAGCACUUUUGGCAGGGAAGAAACAGCCUGGGAUAAUACCCCGGGCGACUGACGGUACCUGCAGAAUAAGCACCGGCUAACUACGUGCCAGCAGCCGCGGUAAUACGUAGGGUGCAAGCGUUAAUCGGAAUUACUGGGCGUAAAGCGUGCGCAGGCGGUUCGGAAAGAAAGGUGUGAAAUCCCAGGGCUUAACCUUGGAACUGCACUUUUAACUACCGAGCUAGAGUACGUCAGAGGGGGGUAGAAUUCCACGUGUAGCAGUGAAAUGCGUAGAGAUGUGGAGGAAUACCGAUGGCGAAGGCAGCCCCCUGGGAUGAUACUGACGCUCAUGCACGAAAGCGUGGGGAGCAAACAGGAUUAGAUACCCUGGUAGUCCACGCCCUAAACGAUGUCAACUAGCUGUUGGGGUUUAUUAACCUUAGUAGCGCAGCUAACGCGUGAGGUUGACCGCCUGGGGAGUACGGUCGCAAGAUUAAAAC